UACGAAGGGGGCUAGCGUUGUUCGGAUUUACUGGGCGUAAAGCGCACGUAGGCGGUUCUUUAAGUCAGAGGUGAAAUCCCAAGGCUCAACCUUGGAACUGCCUUUGAUACUGGGGAUCUUGAGUCCGGGAGAGGUGAGUGGAACUGCGAGUGUAGAGGUGAAAUUCGUAGAUAUUCGCAAGAACACCAGUGGCGAAGGCGGCUCACUGGCCCGGUACUGACGCUGAGGUGCGAAAGCGUGGGGAGCAAACAGG
This 253-nucleotide ribosomal RNA is filed under the name uncultured bacterium. RNAcentral's name for it is "partial 16S ribosomal RNA". It matches the Rfam family "Bacterial small subunit ribosomal RNA", at positions 524 to 776 of the family's 1533-position model. The record is from RNAcentral.